This 465-nucleotide ribosomal RNA is filed under the name uncultured Klebsiella sp. Its description in RNAcentral is "bacterial SSU rRNA". It matches the Rfam family "Bacterial small subunit ribosomal RNA", at positions 338 to 795 of the family's 1533-position model. The record is from RNAcentral. Lineage: Bacteria; Pseudomonadati; Pseudomonadota; Gammaproteobacteria; Enterobacterales; Enterobacteriaceae.
CCUACGGGAGGCUGCAGUGGGGAAUAUUGCACAAUGGGCGCAAGCCUGAUGCGGCCAUGCCGCGUGUGUGAAGAAGGCCUUCGGGUUGUAAAGCACUUUCAGCGGGGAGGAAGGCGUUAAGGUUAAUAACCUUGUCGAUUGACGUUACCCGCAGAAGAAGCACCGGCUAACUCCGUGCCAGCAGCCGCGGUAAUACGGAGGGUGCAAGCGUUAAUCGGAAUUACUGGGCGUAAAGCGCACGCAGGCGGUCUGUCAAGUCGGAUGUGAAAUCCCCGGGCUCAACCUGGGAACUGCAUUCGAAACUGGCAGGCUAGAGUCUUGUAGAGGGGGGUAGAAUUCCAGGUGUAGCGGUGAAAUGCGUAGAGAUCUGGAGGAAUACCGGUGGCGAAGGCGGCCCCCUGGACAAAGACUGACGCUCAGGUGCGAAAGCGUGGGGAGCAAACAGGAUUAGAUACCCUUGUAGUC